Molecule: ribosomal RNA, 729 nt
Filed under: Triticum aestivum (bread wheat)
Lineage: Eukaryota; Viridiplantae; Streptophyta; Magnoliopsida; Poales; Poaceae
Description: partial small subunit ribosomal RNA
Source: RNAcentral
AUGGUGUGUGGACACAGCGACGAGUCUCUGUUACAUGCUCUAGUUUUGUGUGUUCAUGCAACAAUGUUUUGGGACGAGGCAACGAGAUUCUUCGGACUGACCUUGCCUCGGCUACACCCAGAUACAUGGACUAGAGACCUUCUGGAUCAUCAGUUCAUCAAGAAGGAAAAUGCGGCAAUUGUUAUCUCUGUCAUGUGGGUGAUCUGGAGUAGCAGAAAUAAGUAUAUGCAUGGACAAGCACUAUACCAAUCCCGACGCUCUAUGAAGAUUAUACAUGAGAUGAUUAGAUCUCUGAAUAUUCCCAGUGUGCAACACACCGAGCAGAAGAAGAAUGCAGUAUGGAGACCACCAGAGGAUGGAAGAGUUAAUACACUGAUGCAGCCAUGGGUACGAAUGUGGGGGCGGCUGGUGCGGCAAUGGUGGCUCGGAAUCACGAAGGAAAUCUUCUGGUCGGAAGUGCAUCAGGGAGUAGCGGGUCCCUAUAUUGGUGAAGCACUGGCUUGCAGGGAUGCUAUGCUCUUUGGGAUUGGGCAAGGAUGGACAAGUGUGGAGAUUGAAACGGACAGCCAAGUUUUUGUGGAAGAUUGGAAAGAAAGGAGAGAUAAAUACGUGGGCGGUCUCACUAUCAGAGAGAUGACCACCUAUCUCUUGUUUUUUCUGGGGUUCGAAUUAAAAUUUAAGGAAAGGGAAGUGGACAUGCCACCACUUCUUCUUCGGUACAACCCCUAA